This 231-nucleotide long non-coding RNA is filed under the name Mytilus galloprovincialis (Mediterranean mussel). The record is from RNAcentral. Lineage: Eukaryota; Metazoa; Mollusca; Bivalvia; Mytilida; Mytilidae.
GGAUUGCUCAUGUGCAUCGUCACAAUACAAUUACAGUCCAGCUGGUCAUAUUAUUACUGGUGACCUUGGCAUCGUUACCAAUGAACAACUAAGAGAGUUGUUAGCCAAGGGACCAAAAUAUAGAAUCCCCCAGCCAUCAACUGGAAAAAGAAUUUCAAGUUACUGAUGGAUGCAGUUGAGGACUAUGCAAGAAAAUGGGUAAAGCGCGAACCAGACGAACCAGAACUGGAC